Molecule: unclassified non-coding RNA, 142 nt
Filed under: Ramularia cynarae
Lineage: Eukaryota; Fungi; Ascomycota; Dothideomycetes; Mycosphaerellales; Mycosphaerellaceae
Description: partial internal transcribed spacer 2
Source: RNAcentral
CACCACUCAAGCCUCGCUUGGUAUUGGGCGUCGCGAGUCCCUCGCGCGCCUCAAAGUCUCCGGCUCGGCGGUUCGUCUCCCAGCGUUGUGGCAACUAUUUCGCAGUGGAGUUCGAGUCGCGGGGGCCGUUAAAUCUUUCAAA